This 505-nucleotide ribosomal RNA is filed under the name uncultured bacterium. Its description in RNAcentral is "partial 16S ribosomal RNA". It matches the Rfam family "Bacterial small subunit ribosomal RNA", at positions 28 to 507 of the family's 1533-position model. The record is from RNAcentral.
GACGAACGCUGGCGGCGUGCCUAAUACAUGCAAGUAGAACGCACAGUUUAUACCGUAGCUUGCUACACCAUAGACUGUGAGUUGCGAACGGGUGAGUAACGCGUAGGUAACCUGCCUGGUAGCGGGGGAUAACUAUUGGAAACGAUAGCUAAUACCGCAUAAUAUUAAUUAUUGCAUGAUAAUUGAUUGAAAGAUGCAACUGCAUCACUACCAGAUGGACCUGCGUUGUAUUAGCUAGUAGGUGAGGUAACGGCUCACCUAGGCGACGAUACAUAGCCGACCUGAGAGGGUGAUCGGCCACACUGAGACUGAGACACGGCCCAGACUCCUACGGGAGGCAGCAGUAGGGAAUCUUCGGCAAUGGACGAAAGUCUGACCGAGCAACGCCGCGUGAGUGAAGAAGGUUUUCGGAUCGUAAAGCUCUGUUGUAAGAGAAGAACGGGUGUGAGAGUGGAAAGUUCACACUGUGACGGUAUCUUACCAGAAAGGGACGGCUAACUACGUG